CAGUGGUCUUUGAUGCUAUUUUAAGAAAUGAGCAUUAAUAGGUAUGAAGAUUCUGAAAAGAGGAUGUCUAAAAACAGACCAAACUAUACUGUCCUCUGUUAUCUAUAUAUAGAUGUGGUUUAAAGAUGUUUGAGUAACCAGUAGUCCAGCACAUACCACACACCAUCUUGUCUACUUAGCAGUAUUAUUUACUUUCUCAUAUAUUUGUCUUACCUCUGUUAAUUGUGCCGUAACAUAUAGGGCAUCAGCAGUAUCAUUCCUGUUUGAGGGUCACCUCAGUAUUUUAACAAUGUGUGUGUCUCACAGAUAGCAGAUGCUCAUUGGAUGUUUGUGUGUAAAACUUGGGAUGUAGCUGGUUCUUCUGAAGGAGAGUUAUUUUGGUUAGUUUAUUUGGACUUGCCUCAUGACGAUGGGCAGCACAGCGUGUUAUGUUUAUAGCAACUGAAGCAUUUGACUGUAUAAGGCAUCCUGCGUUAUGUACACAAAACUGGGCAGUCUUUUCUAAUUAGUCAUCGCCAUUUCUUGUCUUGCGAUGAUCUGAGGAACUCUAAUAGAACUGCAAAAAAACUGAGAGCCAAUGUCCAAGCAGAAAGGACACUUAGAAGUAUAGACAGGCCAAUAAGUCACACCUGUCUCUUCAGUUAGAUGAUAAACUGUCAGAAAAAUGAAAAAUACAGUAGAAAAUAUAGCUGGGGUCCAGGGUUUUCAAUCUGUGGGUAAAGUCUAAUGAGAUUGUCAAGAUAGCAUGGAUCCAUAUAGCUUCAGAAACUUAAAAAAAAAAAAAACGAAACUAGGUUAGCACCUAUUUUAACUGACCUUCAAUUGAAUUGGACUGUAUGCAUAAAAUAUACCGAUUUUAACAGUGUAGAAAUUUAUUUCUGUCUCCUGUGAAAGACACUGCUGCCUGCUGCAUACUAAGUUGUUUAAGUUGUGUCCAACUCUUUGUGACCCUAUGGACUGUAGGCUCUUCUGUCCAUGGGAUUCUCCAAGCAAGAAUCCUGGAGUGGGUUGCUGUUCCUCCUUCAGGGGAUCUUUAGUCUUUUAUGUCUCCUGUAUUGGCAGGUGGAUUCUUUACCACUAGCGCCACCUGGGAAGCCCUGUGAAAGACACCAGAGAUACUUAAUCCAGAGAACUUGAGUUAACAAACCAGGGUCAAACAGUUUGGUGAUGGCAAAACUUUAAAUUCAUCAUCUGAGAGGUUAAUUGAUAACAGCAUCUGCCUUCUGUGCUGCAAAGAUUUAAUACUAGAAAAUGACAUACUUAGAAAAAUGCCUGGCAACACAGUAAAAGUCCUAACUGUUAAUAUUAUUAGGGACCUUGGAUGAAUCAACAGAUCACAUCCAUAAGUGAAAACUAAUGCUGUGAUAACUUACUUGUAGGAAGGAUGCAGGGUGUUAUGAGAGGAUAUAAUCAGGGUUUCUGGACUUCUCUGGUGGUUCAGUGGUUGAGACCCUACACCUCACUGAAGGGGGCACAGUUCCAUCCCUGAUCUGUGAACUAAAAUCCCACAUGGCUGGGUGUUGGCCCGGUGGCCGGCUGAAACUCAUUCUAGGCAGAGAGAACUAACCUGUCCUGAAUCUGGAGGGAGUAUGGGGAAGGACUAAAAGGAGGGUUUGUAGAUUCUAGACGAUGAGUCUGGAGAGAGGGGCAACUUCCAAGGGGACAUAGUAGGGAUUUUGGUCUGUAACUGAAGAGCGGUGGGCCUGCUCAUCCACAGAGGAAGCCUGGAGGGUGAUUUCAGCUGGAUGCAGCCUUAUUCGUGAGCCUGAUUGUUGGUCUCUGACCUCUGCGAGGCUGAUACACAGAAGGGUCCAGUUUAAUGUAUCACAGGGGAACAGAGAAGAGAGGAGAUGAGUCCCACACCAGGGGAUGGAAGCUGAUUAUGAAAAGCUGCCCCACUACAGCUGCUGCCUUUUGAAAAAUAUAAACAUGGUUUAAGUAAACACAUCAUCAUCUUGUAGGAAUGUUAGACAGGGCUGACUAUGCCCCCUCCCUCACCAAAGGCUGCGUCUUAUCUAACUAGCAUAUGUGAAAGUCAAUUUCUUUUUUAAUCAGGAAGCUACAGAAACAAGCUCAUUUUGUGAUUUAAUCUUAACUUGUAAGCACUAAUGAUAAUUAAAAUUUAUUCUAAAAAUUAAAAAAAAUCUUCAUGUACAUUUUUGAUAUGUUGUCAUGAGAGUAUUAAGAUAUUAUAGAUAAGUGGCUCCAAAUAUUCCAGCACUUGAAAAUUUUAAAAAUGACAUUUCUCCCUGAACUCAGCAUUAUGGUAGUAAUGAAGAAUCUAGAAUCAAAGUAUUUCUGGGGAAGAAAUAUUUUUUCAAGCAUACCAAGUCUCAGAGGCAGCAGUGAGUCAGUGUAUAAUCAAGCCACAUUUGGAUCUGGCUGAAAAAUGUAGGUCAAUGAGAGAUGAUGCUUUUUGUCAUAGUUAAACAUCUGUUGGGCAUAUUAGAUGUCAAACACUGCCGUAGAGAACAACUUGAUUUGGCAUCAUCAUCGUAGUUAAUAAUUGAAAUAGAAAGAAAAAGAAAGAACCCUCAUCAUAAUUGGGCAAAGGAAUGAAGAUGAUUCAUAUUUAAAUACAUAAUAUGAAUUAGUUCUGAGAUUACAGAAGCCACA
Molecule: long non-coding RNA, 2616 nt
Organism: Bubalus bubalis (water buffalo)
Lineage: Eukaryota; Metazoa; Chordata; Mammalia; Artiodactyla; Bovidae
Exons: 2
Source: RefSeq, a predicted model, not a curated record